This 214-nucleotide long non-coding RNA is filed under the name Lathyrus oleraceus (garden pea). RNAcentral describes it as "Pisum sativum (pea) long non-coding RNA (PSAT_LNC005433)". Lineage: Eukaryota; Viridiplantae; Streptophyta; Magnoliopsida; Fabales; Fabaceae. The record is from RNAcentral.
UUAGGUUUCUAAUGUUGAAAACAAAAGUUAUUGUUUGCACAAAAAGUUUUGGCUUGGGUUAGAAUGGGGAAAAAAAGAAGGGUUAAAUUCCUAAACAUACAAGAGAUAAGGGAAAAGAAAAUAAAACCACAUUAGGAGUUCCCCUCUUGAGAUCAUAUUGAUGAUCCAAGUAGCUCCAUUCUUUGGAAAAAGCAGUCACAAACAAAUAUCUCAA